Long non-coding RNA from Saccostrea echinata, 969 nucleotides. RefSeq lists it as uncharacterized. The record is from RefSeq and is a predicted model, not a curated record. Lineage: Eukaryota; Metazoa; Mollusca; Bivalvia; Ostreida; Ostreidae. The transcript is spliced from 6 exons.
ACAUUGAUCCAAACAAAUUUUUUUUCCACAGUAACUUCUGGACCCACAAUGCAUUGCUUGUUAAAUUACCUUCUCACAAGAAUAACAAUAAAAGUUCAACAAAUAAUAAACUCGCCUUUAUUUAUUGGAUAUAUUGCAGAUAAAUAGUUAAUAAAACAUUCUUCAUUAAAAUAAGCACUGUUCUUUCUUCAGUUUAAUGGUAAUGAAACUUACAUACCACAUCAUGUGCCGUCAGAGUCUAGACGCACCAAAUGUCACGUGCGGUUUAUAGAGACAGGCCUAAAUACAAUGAUAAACAGUACACUGAAAAGAAUGUUUGAGGCAAACAGAAGAUGCAUGGAAUCCCCCCUGAACAUGGAGACAGUACAAUUACAUGCAUUAUCAAAGCUGGAUUAUUAGGUUCUACAUUUAAACUCAACCAUAAAUAUUUGCUUAUUUUUAAGGUAUACAGAGAUCCCUUGAAGAAAUAAAGAACAGCUUUUAAUUAGAGAAUUCUCUUUUAAUACAGUUACAAAGCUUUCAAACCAUGAUGAGUAAAAAAGAUGCAAGGAAAUUUGUUUACAGCCUUCCAGAUUCAGCAAAUAAUGCUAGAGAAUUAGUUAAUGCAAGACCUAAUGAUGGAAAUGUACCAGGUUCCAUGGCUAGGAGAAUGUCAGAAAGCCUCAUCAUUAGUGUGUUACAGAGGCAGUAAAGGAAAUCGAUGGUGAUGUUUCUUGUGUUGGUGAUGAGAAUCAGAGUGAGGAGGAAAUGGAUGACAGUCAAGACAAUCAUGAUUUCCACAUUCCAGGAAAAGGAAGCCACUUUCUGAUCACAGAUCCACAACAGAAAUGGAAGAUUCUGCAUGCAAGUGACAGAAGAUACAAAAAAUCCCAAGGACAUCAUGUGAAAUGAUUUUAAUCAAAAAACAUUUCAGAAAAGAUUACAAAAAUGUAAUAAAAACUUAGAUAAGUGUUAAAGACCAAGUAUAUA